RNAcentral lists this transfer RNA (78 nucleotides) under Candidatus Odinarchaeum yellowstonii. Its description in RNAcentral is "tRNA-Arg". It matches the Rfam family "tRNA". Rfam says of the family: Transfer RNA (tRNA) molecules are approximately 80 nucleotides in length. Their secondary structure includes four short double-helical elements and three loops (D, anti-codon, and T loops). Lineage: Archaea; Promethearchaeati; Candidatus Odinarchaeota; Candidatus Odinarchaeia; Candidatus Odinarchaeales; Candidatus Odinarchaeaceae. The record is from RNAcentral. RNAcentral also lists the same sequence under 1 other name.
GCGCCCGUGGCAUAGCCAGGAUAUUGCGCGGCCCUGCGGAGGCCGAAGCCGUGAGUUCGAAUCUCACCGGGCGCACCA